RNAcentral lists this long non-coding RNA (317 nucleotides) under Cyanistes caeruleus (blue tit). RNAcentral describes it as "lncRNA (ENSCCEG00000021329.1)". Lineage: Eukaryota; Metazoa; Chordata; Aves; Passeriformes; Paridae. The record is from RNAcentral.
CUUUAAAUCACCACUGGCAGUCACAGAGCUGACCCCUGUCUGCACCUUUCAGACACGGGUGAGGCAUUGUUUGAUGUCAGCUUUGCAGGCUCCUGCUCAGUAAUGCACAGGGGCUCCCACUGCCCACAGCCAUGAUUGGAGACAAAUGCCUAUUUCCUACCCAGUGAUCCUAAGACAACCUACAGUAGCAGGAAGGUAUGCCUAAGAACACAGCCCAAGAGAAGCUUGAGAUGAAGUGUUCUCUCAGCUCUGUGUCCUGUUUUUUUCAAGAGCAAGAAGAAAUAGUCCAUGAAAGAACACUGAGGUUACAGCUGUAA